RNAcentral lists this unclassified non-coding RNA (351 nucleotides) under soil metagenome. Its description in RNAcentral is "partial contains 5.8S ribosomal RNA, internal transcribed spacer 2, and large subunit ribosomal RNA". The stretch from base 1 to 120 matches the Rfam family "5.8S ribosomal RNA", at positions 35 to 154 of the family's 154-position model. The record is from RNAcentral.
GAUGAAGAACGUAGUGAAAUGCGAUAAGUAAUGUGAAUUGCAGAAUUCAGUGAAUCAUCGAAUCUUUGAACGCACAUUGCGCCCGCCAGUAUUCUGGCGGGCAUGCCUGUUCGAGCGUCAUUACAACCCUCAGGCCCCCGGGCCUGGCGUUGGGGAUCGGCGGAGCCCCCCGUGGGCACACGCCGUCCCCCAAAUACAGUGGCGGUCCCGCCGCAGCUUCCAUCGCGUAGUAGCUAACACCUCGCGACUGGAGAGCGGCGCGGCCACGCCGUAAAACACCCAACUCUUCUGAAGUUGACCUCGAAUCAGGUAGGAAUACCCGCUGAACUUAAGCAUAUAAUAAGCGGAGGA